GAGACAACUCAGGCUCGGGCUGGGGCAGGCUGCUGGUUAAACACCAGACAAUACCUGUGGGGACUCCCUCGGCCAGCCAGUCGUGCUCAGGAACCCAACCCGAUCGUGUCAUGCAGGGAUCGACACGGAUCUGUGCUGACUUCUCUCUAAUGAGAGCAGGAUCGGGGCCUCGAGAUAUUCCCGGACCCGUGUCACACUUGUUAGGGGUAGAAACACCUUUGGGGGCCGCUCCUCAGAUGGUGGAAAUGGUCAGAGCUGAAGUCAAUGUCAAUUCACACCCGCUCAGGAUCGCCCGCUCCUUUCCUUUCGUCUUUUUGCAGAGCGAUCAGAGCAGCCAAAGGGGGGGGGCGGUACCCAAACGCCUUAAAAUGCAGCCCUGUUAGCAAAAGAGCAUCCAGUAACUCGUGCGGAUUAUUGUCUAGCUGCGGUAAAAAAAAAAACAACAACAAACCAAACCCAUCCCCAGCAUUAAGUGUAAUUCACAGCUGCUUGGAUGCAAAUCCCACUAGUGUUGAGGAAGAGGAGAGAGAGAUUUAGGAGCUGAACUGUCCAGAACCGAAGAGAUGCCCUUGGAAUGAGGUUACGGAGCCAGCAUCAGCCGUGGCUGAGCAGAGUGGAAAACAACGCAAAUCAGCCUCUUAGGUGAAAAGACACUUCUAAUUCUAAACUCAAUCAGGUGUCUGGAAAAUGGAGCUACAUUUUUUUCCAUCUUUGUACAUCAUCUCCAGCCAUGUAAGCAGGCUGAGAAUAUGGAUCCUGGAGACGUCAGCAAGAGAUUUCAUUAGAAGAGACGCCAAGUGCUUGGAAAUGGGAAAUGUAUUCUAUUCUAAACAUCGGCUGCACUGAGGCUGACCCUAAGACAGCACAAAUUGGCUGGAAAGACAAAGAAAGCUGAAAAUGAAAACUCUGUUCAUAUGUAACAGACUCCAUUUAUUGCAACAAUAUCUGCUUUAAAAGUCUCCUGUAGUUUUUUUUAACGUUCAGAAUGGCAAGAACUCUUAACUCUGAAUAGUCAAUAUUUAUCUCUGCUGAUGUGCAGAAGCUUGCUAC
Chelonia mydas (Green sea turtle) is the source of this 1050-nucleotide long non-coding RNA. RefSeq lists it as uncharacterized. NCBI's taxonomy places the organism in Eukaryota, Metazoa, Chordata, Testudines, Cheloniidae. The transcript has 4 exons. The record is from RefSeq and is a predicted model, not a curated record.